CCUAAAGUUACCUGUUAGACGAACGCUGCGCGGCGUGCUUAAUGCAUGCAAGUCGCACGCACUGAUCUUCGGAACAGUGAGUGGCGCACGGCUGAGGAACACGUGGGUGACCUGCCCCGGUGUGGGGGAUAACCCGCCGAAAGCGAGCUAAUCCCGCAUACGCUCUGCGGAGGAAAGCGGAAACGCGCACUGGGAGGGGCCUGCGGCCAUCAGGUAGUUGGUGUGGUAACGGCGCACCAAGCCGAURACGGGUACCUGGUCUGAGAGGACGACCAGGCAGACUGGGACUGAGACACGGCCCAGACUCCUACGGGAGGCAGCAGCAAGGAAUUUUCCGCAAUGGGCGCAAGCCUGACGGAGCAACGCCGCGUGCCGGAAGACGGCUUUCGGGUUGUAAACGGCUUUUGUUGGGGACGAUCUGGACGGUACCCAACGAAUAAGCCCCGGCUAACUCCGUGCCAGCAGCCGCGGUAAUACGGAGGGGGCAAGCGUUGUCCGGACUUACUGGGCGUAAAGCGUGCGUAGGCGGUACGGUGCGUCGGCACUGAAAGCGGAUGGCUUAACCAUCCGAGGUGUGGCGAUACGACCGAACUGGAGGCAGGGAGAGGUUCGCGGAAUUCCGGGUGUAGUGGUGAAAUGCGUAGAGAUCCGGAGGAACGCCGGUGGCGCAAGCGGCGAACUGGCCCUGACCUGACGCUAAGGCACGAAAGCGUGGGGAGCAAACCGG
This 727-nucleotide ribosomal RNA is filed under the name uncultured Chloroflexus sp. Its description in RNAcentral is "bacterial SSU rRNA". It matches the Rfam family "Bacterial small subunit ribosomal RNA", at positions 1 to 776 of the family's 1533-position model. The record is from RNAcentral. Lineage: Bacteria; Bacillati; Chloroflexota; Chloroflexia; Chloroflexales; Chloroflexaceae.